This 253-nucleotide ribosomal RNA is filed under the name uncultured bacterium. Its description in RNAcentral is "partial 16S ribosomal RNA". It matches the Rfam family "Bacterial small subunit ribosomal RNA", at positions 524 to 776 of the family's 1533-position model. The record is from RNAcentral.
UCCCGAGGGGGCAAGCGUUGUUCGGAAUUACUGGGCGUAAAGGGCGCGUAGGCGGCCUGUUAAGUCAGACGUGAAAUCCCUCGGCUCAACCGGGGAACUGCGUCUGAUACUGGCGGGCUUGAAUUCGGGAGAGGGAUGUGGAAUUCCAGGUGUAGCGGUGAAAUGCGUAGAUAUCUGGAGGAACACCGGUGGCGAAGGCGGCAUCCUGGACCGACAUUGACGCUGAGGCGCGAAAGCCAGGGGAGCAAACGGG